GCUUAGUUAGUAAAGUACAAAGCUCUUAACCUUGUGGACGUGGGUUCAAGCCCCAU
RNAcentral lists this transfer RNA (56 nucleotides) under Triticum aestivum (bread wheat). It matches the Rfam family "tRNA", at positions 10 to 63 of the family's 71-position model. From Rfam's summary of the family: Transfer RNA (tRNA) molecules are approximately 80 nucleotides in length. Their secondary structure includes four short double-helical elements and three loops (D, anti-codon, and T loops). Further hydrogen bonds mediate the characteristic L-shaped molecular structure. tRNAs have two regions of fundamental functional importance: the anti-codon, which is responsible for specific mRNA codon recognition, and the 3' end, to which the tRNAs corresponding amino acid is attached (by aminoacyl-tRNA synthetases). tRNAs cope with the degeneracy of the genetic code in two manners: having more than one tRNA (with a specific anti-codon) for a particular amino acid; and 'wobble' base-pairing, i.e. permitting non-standard base-pairing at the 3rd anti-codon position. The record is from Rfam by way of RNAcentral. RNAcentral also lists the same sequence under 1 other name. Lineage: Eukaryota; Viridiplantae; Streptophyta; Magnoliopsida; Poales; Poaceae.